AGUCUCAGUUCGGAUUGAAGGCUGAAAUUCGCCUUCAUGAAGCCGGAAUUGCUAGUAAUGGCAGGUCAGCAUACUGCCGUGAAUAGUUCCCGGGCCUUGUACACACCGCCCGUCACACCAUGAGAGUUGGGAAUACCCGAAGCCUGUGAGCUAACUUUUUAAGAGGCAGCAGUCGAAGGUAGAAUCAAUGAUUGGGGUGAAGUCGUAACAAGGUAAC
This 217-nucleotide ribosomal RNA is filed under the name uncultured bacterium. RNAcentral describes it as "partial 16S ribosomal RNA". It matches the Rfam family "Bacterial small subunit ribosomal RNA", at positions 1284 to 1500 of the family's 1533-position model. The record is from RNAcentral.